CGGGGGGCAGCAGUGGGGAAUAUUGGACAAUGGGCGAAAGCCUGAUCCAGCAAUGCCGCGUGAGUGAUGAAGGCCUUAGGGUUGUAAAGCUCUUUUACCCGGGAUGAUAAUGACAGUACCGGGAGAAUAAGCUCCGGCUAACUCCGUGCCAGCAGCCGCGGUAAUACGGAGGGAGCUAGCGUUAUUCGGAAUUACUGGGCGUAAAGCGCACGUAGGCGGCUUUGUAAGUAAGAGGUGAAAGCCUGGUGCUCAACACCAGAACUGCCUUUUAGACUGCAUCGCUUGAAUCCAGGAGAGGUGAGUGGAAUUCCGAGUGUAGAGGUGAAAUUCGUAGAUAUUCGGAAGAACACCAGUGGCGAAGGCGGCUCACUGGACUGGUAUUGACGCUGAGGUGCGAAAGCGUGGGGAGCAAACAGGAUUAGAUACCCCAGU
RNAcentral lists this ribosomal RNA (432 nucleotides) under uncultured Sphingomonas sp. RNAcentral describes it as "bacterial SSU rRNA". It matches the Rfam family "Bacterial small subunit ribosomal RNA", at positions 342 to 791 of the family's 1533-position model. Lineage: Bacteria; Pseudomonadati; Pseudomonadota; Alphaproteobacteria; Sphingomonadales; Sphingomonadaceae. The record is from RNAcentral.